AACAAAAACAUGUCUUUUUGAUUAUAAUUUAAAGUCUAACCUGCCCAAUGAACAAUUUGAAUGGCCGCGGUAUUUUGACCGUGCUAAGGUAGCAUAAUAAUUAGUUUUUUAAUUGAAAACUGGUAUGAAUGGUUGAACGAAGAAAAAUCUGUCUCAAUUUAAUUUGAUUAGAAUUUUAUUUUUAAGUAAAAAAGCUUAAAUAAUUUUAAAAGACGAGAAGACCCUAUAGAGUUUUAUAGUUAAUUAUUAAUUAGAUUAAUAGAAUUUUCUUUUUAAUUUUUAGUUAAUUAUUUUGUUGGGGUGACAAAAAAAUUUAAUAAACUUUUUUUAUAUAUUAUCAUUGAUUUAUGAAUAAGUGAUCCAUUUUUUAUGAUUAUAAGAUUAAAUUACCUUAGGGAUAACAGCGUAAUUUUUUUUAAGAGUUCUUAUCG
Molecule: ribosomal RNA, 431 nt
Filed under: Trox tuberculatus
Lineage: Eukaryota; Metazoa; Arthropoda; Insecta; Coleoptera; Trogidae
Description: partial 16S ribosomal RNA
Rfam family: Archaeal large subunit ribosomal RNA (bases 1-155)
Source: RNAcentral